GACGAACGCUGGCGGCGUGCUUAACACAUGCAAGUCGAACGGAAAGGCCCUGCUUUUGUGGGGUGCUCGAGUGGCGAACGGGUGAGUAACACGUGAGUAACCUGCCCUUGACUUUGGGAUAACUUCAGGAAACUGGGGCUAAUACCGGAUAGGAGCUCCUGCUGCAUGGUGGGGGUUGGAAAGUUUCGGCGGUUGGGGAUGGACUCGCGGCUUAUCAGCUUGUUGGUGGGGUAGUGGCUUACCAAGGCUUUGACGGGUAGCCGGCCUGAGAGGGUGACCGGCCACAUUGGGACUGAGAUACGGCCCAGACUCCUACGGGAGGCAGCAGUGGGGAAUAUUGCACAAUGGGCGGAAGCCUGAUGCAGCAACGCCGCGUGCGGGAUGACGGCCUUCGGGUUGUAAACCGCUUUCGCCUGUGACGAAGCGUGAGGGACGGUAAUGGGUAAAGAAACACCGGCUAACUACGU
This 467-nucleotide ribosomal RNA is filed under the name uncultured bacterium. RNAcentral describes it as "partial 16S ribosomal RNA". It matches the Rfam family "Bacterial small subunit ribosomal RNA", at positions 28 to 506 of the family's 1533-position model. The record is from RNAcentral.